CGGUGAAUAGCGCAGCUUGGUAGCGCAUCUGGUUUGGGACCAGAGGGUCGGG
RNAcentral lists this transfer RNA (52 nucleotides) under Enterovibrio norvegicus. RNAcentral describes it as "tRNA-Pro". Lineage: Bacteria; Pseudomonadati; Pseudomonadota; Gammaproteobacteria; Vibrionales; Vibrionaceae. The record is from RNAcentral.